CACGCCUCCGCUCCGCCCCCAGGCUCCGCCCCCGCGGUCUUGAGUGACGGGUAAAGCCAGCACGGCGGAGAGGAGCUUGAUAGAUGGGGUCCUGGGGCGCCCCGCCGGCUCUGGCUGGGUGUCCUGUACGUCCGUCCUGCUGGAGGGACCCCAGAGCCACCACCACAGGUGCCUAAAAUCCAGGGGAGGCGACAGCAGCCAAAGACUAGAACACCCCCCAGAAGAGACAAGAUCAGAUACCAACAUGAAGGAACACCUCGAGCAUGACCCUGAGGAACACAGCAUGGCUCAAGUACAGACAAGUACAGACAAGGACUUCAAAAGAACAAUUAGGAAUAUGGUAAAGGACUUCAAAGAAGAGAUUCGUAAACCUCUCAGUGAAGUCUGUGAAAAUGCCAACAAACAGUUGAAAGAAACAAUUUCAGACGUGAAGGCAGAUGCCUGCCUGAAGAUCCGGCAGGCUGCCCCCAGAUCUUCCCCCACCCUGUCUUUUACGCCAGACACAAUUCUCAGGGUUGCUUCACAAUUCUCAGGGAUGCUUCUAGCAUUGCAAUAGAACCCCCGGGCAGCCUCCCCUGCCCCUGUCCACGCCUCCUGUCGAUCCCUCAGACCAUCUCCCCAUGGUCUCCCCUCAGCCUCCAACACCAGCAAGCGUUCCCUGUGAACAUACCAGCUGACUUUGUUUUUAAACUUUUCUAUUUAUUCUUUGCGUCUUUCACA
Peromyscus maniculatus bairdii (prairie deer mouse) is the source of this 720-nucleotide non-coding RNA. NCBI's taxonomy places the organism in Eukaryota, Metazoa, Chordata, Mammalia, Rodentia, Cricetidae. The record is from RefSeq and is a predicted model, not a curated record.